AUUGAACGCUGGCGGUAUGCCUUACACAUGCAAGUCGAACGGCAGCACGGGUGCUUGUAGCUGUUGGGGAGUGGCGAACGGGGGAGUAAGACGUCGGCACAUGUCCUGACGUGGGGAAUAGGGCGGCGAAAGUGGGAUUUAUACCGAUUACGCUCUACGGCUGAGGGUGGGGGCCGUGGGGGUUCGGCGCUUGCGCGUUGGACGAUGCCUGAUUAGCUAGUUGGUGGGGUAAAGGCCUACCAAGGCGACGAUCAGUAGCUGGUCUGAGAGGAAGACCAGCCACACUGGAACUGAGACACGGCCCAGACUCCUACGGGAGGCAGCAGUGGGGAAUAUUGGACAAUGGGCGAAAGCCUGAUCCAGCAAUGCCGCGUGUGUGAAGAAGGCCUUCGGGUUGUAAAGCACUUUUGUCCGGAAAGAAAUGCUUGACCCUAAUACGGUCGGGUGAUGACGGUACCGAAAGAAUAAGCACCGGCUAACUACGUG
Molecule: ribosomal RNA, 486 nt
Filed under: uncultured bacterium
Lineage: Bacteria
Description: partial 16S ribosomal RNA
Rfam family: Bacterial small subunit ribosomal RNA
Source: RNAcentral